AGCGGCGUAAGGGAGAGUAAUGUGUGGAUACCUACCCUGGGGUCCGGGAUAGCCGUGGGAAACUGCGGGUAAUACCGGAUAACAUCUCCGGAUCAAAGGUGUGAUUCCGCCUUGGGAUGGGUCCACAUCCUAUUAGCUUGUUGGUAAGGUAACGGCUUACCAAGGCUACGAUGGGUACCGGGUGUGAGAGCAUGGCCCGGCUCACUGGGACUGAGACACUGCCCAGACACCUACGGGUGGCUGCAGUCGAGAAUCUUCGGCAAUGAGCGCAAGCUUGACCGAGCGACGCCGCGUGCGGGAUGAAGGCCUUCGGGUUGUAAACCGCUGUCAGAGGGGAUGAAAUGCCGGGAGGCUAUCCUGCCGGUUUGACAAAUCCUCAGAGGAAGGACGGGCUAAGUUCGUGCCAGCAGCCGCGGUAAGACGAACCGUCCAAACGU
This 437-nucleotide ribosomal RNA is filed under the name uncultured bacterium. RNAcentral's name for it is "bacterial SSU rRNA". It matches the Rfam family "Bacterial small subunit ribosomal RNA", at positions 94 to 541 of the family's 1533-position model. The record is from RNAcentral.